UGGGAAGAACACCAGUGGCGAAGGCGCUCUACUGGGCCGUAACUGACGCUGAGGGACGAAAGCUAGGGGAGCGAAAGGGAUUAGAUACCCCUGUAGUCCUAGCUGUAAACGAUGGAUACUAGGUGUUGGACGUAUCGACCCGUUCAGUACCGCAGCCAACGCGAUAAGUAUCCCGCCUGGGGAGUACGCACGCAAGUGUGAAACUCAAAGGAAUUGACGGGGGCCCGCACAAGCGGUGGAGUAUGUGGUUUAAUUCGAUGCAACGCGAAGAACCUUACCAGGGCUUGACAUCCCUCGAAUCUCUGUGAAAGCGGAGAGUGCCUUCGGGAGCGAGGAGACAGGUGGUGCAUGGCUGUCGCCAGCUCGUGUCGUGAGAUGUUGGGUUAAGUCCCGCAACGAGCGCAACCCACGUCCUUAGUUGCCAUCAUUCAGUUGGGCACUCUGGGGAGACUGCCGGGGACAACUCGGAGGAAGGUGUGGAUGACGUCGAGUCAUCAUGCCCCUUACGUUCUGGGCUACACACGUACUACAAUGCUUCGGACAAAGGGCAGCCAACUAGCGAUAGUGAGCUAAUCCCAUAAACCGAGGCACAGUUCAGAUUGCAGGCUGCAACUCGCCUGCAUGAAGGAGGAAUCGCUAGUAAUCGCCGGUCAGCAUACGGCGGUGAAUACGUUCCCGGGCCUUGUACACACCGCCCGUCACACCAUGGGAGUUGGCCA
This 719-nucleotide ribosomal RNA is filed under the name uncultured bacterium. Its description in RNAcentral is "bacterial SSU rRNA". It matches the Rfam family "Bacterial small subunit ribosomal RNA", at positions 698 to 1417 of the family's 1533-position model. The record is from RNAcentral.